AGAACGAACGCUGGCGGCAGGCUUAACACAUGCAAGUCGAGCGCACCGCAAGGUGAGCGGCAGACGGGUGAGUAACGCGUGGGAAUCUACCCAACCCUACGGAAUAACACAGGGAAACUUGUGCUAAAUACCGUAUACGCCCUACGGGGGAAAGAUUUAUCGGGGUUGGAUGAGCCCGCGUUGGAUUAGCUAGUUGGUGGGGUAAUGGCCUACCAAGGCGACGAUCCAUAGCUGGUCUGAGAGGAUGAUCAGCCACACUGGGACUGAGACACGGCCCAGACUCCUACGGGAGGCAGCAGUGGGGAAUAUUGGACAAUGGGCGAAAGCCUGAUCCAGCCAUGCCGCGUGAGUGAUGAAGGCCUUAGGGUUGUAAAGCUCUUUCAGUGGGAAGAUAAUGACGGUACCCACAGAAGAAGCCCCGGCUAACUUCGCGCCAGCAGCCGC
Molecule: ribosomal RNA, 444 nt
Filed under: uncultured bacterium
Lineage: Bacteria
Description: SSU rRNA
Rfam family: Bacterial small subunit ribosomal RNA
Source: RNAcentral